RNAcentral lists this small RNA (3648 nucleotides) under Pan troglodytes (chimpanzee). RNAcentral's name for it is "retained intron". Lineage: Eukaryota; Metazoa; Chordata; Mammalia; Primates; Hominidae. The record is from RNAcentral.
AGAUCCCUCCCUGCCCCGGGCAGCCGCGGCGGGUGUGGCCAGCGCGGAGGCAGGACGCCGCCGAGCCUCCAACUUUACCUUUCCAACUCCGACAGCCCGUCGCCUUUCUGACCACGUCCCUACGGUUUCCCGGCAUCCGCCUCCCUCACCCCACCACACCUGAGGAAAACUUUUCCCUCGCCCCUCAAUUCAAAUUCAGCAGUGCCCACGGUUGCCGCAAACCGCCCGGUCCCUAGCAACAAGGUUCCGGCCGUAGAGCGAGAGCCUCUAGGUGUAAGGAAGGUGAUGUCGUAAAGCCGGGAGUGUCGUAAACCAGUUACAAAUUAUAAUACUGUGGUAGAAACAAAUUCAGAUUCAGAUGAUGAAGACAAACUGCAUAUUGUGGAAGAAGAAAGUGUUACAGAUGCAGCUGACUGUGAAGGUGUACCAGAGGAUGACCUGCCAACAGACCAGACAGUGUUACCAGGGAGGAGCAGUGAAAGAGAAGGGAAUGCUAAGAACUGCUGGGAGGAUGACAGAAAGGAAGGGCAAGAAAUCCUGGGGCCUGAAGCUCAGGCAGAUGAAGCAGGAUGUACAGUAAAAGAUGAUGAAUGCGAGUCAGAUGCAGAAAAUGAGCAAAACCAUGAUCCUAAUGUUGAAGAGUUUCUACAACAACAAGACACUGCUGUCAUUUUUCCUGAGGCACCUGAAGAGGACCAGAGGCAGGGCACACCAGAAGCCAGUGGUCAUGAUGAAAAUGGAACACCAGAUGCAUUUUCACAAUUACUCACCUGUCCAUAUUGUGAUAGAGGCUAUAAACGCUUUACCUCUCUGAAAGAACACAUUAAAUAUCGUCAUGAAAAGAAUGAAGAUAACUUUAGUUGCUCCCUGUGCAGUUACACCUUUGCAUACAGAACCCAACUUGAACGUCACAUGACAUCACAUAAAUCAGGAAGAGAUCAAAGACAUGUGACGCAGUCUGGGUGUAAUCGUAAAUUCAAAUGCACUGAGUGUGGAAAAGCUUUCAAAUACAAACAUCACCUAAAAGAGCACUUAAGAAUUCACAGUGGAGAGAAGCCAUAUGAAUGCCCAAACUGCAAGAAACGCUUUUCCCAUUCUGGCUCCUAUAGCUCACACAUAAGCAGUAAGAAAUGUAUCAGCUUGAUACCUGUGAAUGGGCGACCAAGAACAGGACUCAAGACAUCUCAGUGUUCUUCACCGUCUCUUUCAGCAUCACCAGGCAGUCCCACACGACCACAGAUACGGCAAAAGAUAGAGAAUAAACCCCUUCAAGAACAACUUUCUGUUAACCAAAUUAAAACUGAACCUGUGGAUUAUGAAUUCAAACCCAUAGUGGUUGCUUCAGGAAUCAACUGUUCAACCCCUUUACAAAAUGGGGUUUUCACUGGUGGUGGCCCAUUACAGGCAACCAGUUCUCCUCAGGGCAUGGUGCAAGCUGUUGUUCUGCCAACAGUUGGUUUGGUGUCUCCCAUAAGUAUCAAUUUAAGUGAUAUUCAGAAUGUACUUAAAGUGGCGGUAGAUGGUAAUGUAAUAAGGCAAGUGUUGGAGAAUAAUCAAGCCAAUCUUGCAUCCAAAGAACAAGAAACAAUCAAUGCUUCACCCAUACAACAAGGUGGCCAUUCUGUUAUUUCAGCCAUCAGUCUUCCUUUGGUUGAUCAAGAUGGAACAACCAAAAUUAUCAUCAACUACAGUCUUGAGCAGCCUAGCCAACUUCAAGUUGUUCCUCAAAAUUUAAAAAAAGAAAAUCCAGUCGCUACAAACAGUUGUAAAAGUGAAAAGUUACCAGAAGAUCUUACUGUUAAGUCUGAGAAGGACAAAAGCUUUGAAGGGGGGGUGAAUGAUAGCACUUGUCUUCUGUGUGAUGAUUGUCCAGGAGAUAUUAAUGCACUUCCAGAAUUAAAGCACUAUGACCUAAAGCAGCCUACUCAGCCUCCUCCACUCCCUGCAGCAGAAGCUGAGAAGCCUGAGUCCUCUGUUUCAUCAGCUACUGGAGAUGGCAAUUUGUCUCCUAGUCAGCCACCUUUAAAGAACCUCUUGUCUCUCCUAAAAGCAUAUUAUGCUUUGAAUGCACAACCAAGUGCAGAAGAGCUCUCAAAAAUUGCUGAUUCAGUAAACCUACCACUGGAUGUAGUAAAAAAGUGGUUUGAAAAGAUGCAAGCUGGACAGAUUUCAGUGCAGUCUUCUGAACCAUCUUCUCCUGAACCAGGCAAAGUAAAUAUCCCUGCCAAGAACAAUGAUCAGCCUCAAUCUGCAAAUGCAAAUGAACCCCAGGACAGCACAGUAAAUCUACAAAGUCCUUUGAAGAUGACUAACUCCCCAGUUUUACCGGUGGGAUCAACCACCAAUGGUUCCAGAAGUAGUACACCAUCCCCAUCACCUCUAAACCUUUCCUCAUCCAGAAAUACACAGGGUUACUUGUACACAGCUGAGGGUGCACAAGAAGAGCCACAAGUAGAACCUCUUGAUCUUUCGCUACCAAAGCAACAGGGAGAAUUAUUAGAAAGGUCAACUAUCACUAGUGUUUACCAGAACAGUGUUUAUUCUGUCCAGGAAGAACCCUUGAACUUGUCUUGCGCAAAAAAGGAGCCACAAAAGGACAGUUGUGUUACAGACUCAGAACCAGUUGUAAAUGUAAUCCCACCAAGUGCCAACCCCAUAAAUAUCGCUAUACCUACAGUCACUGCCCAGUUACCCACAAUCGUGGCCAUUGCUGACCAGAACAGUGUUCCAUGCUUACGAGCGCUAGCUGCCAAUAAGCAAACGAUUCUGAUUCCCCAGGUGGCAUACACCUACUCAACUACGGUCAGCCCUGCAGUCCAAGAACCACCCUUGAAAGUGAUCCAGCCAAAUGGAAAUCAGGAUGAAAGACAAGAUACUAGCUCAGAAGGAGUAUCAAAUGUAGAGGAUCAGAAUGACUCUGAUUCUACACCUCCCAAAAAGAAAAUGCGGAAGACAGAAAAUGGAAUGUAUGCUUGUGAUUUGUGUGACAAGAUAUUCCAAAAGAGUAGUUCAUUAUUGAGACAUAAAUAUGAACACACAGGUAAAAGACCUCAUGAGUGUGGAAUCUGUAAAAAGGCAUUUAAACACAAACAUCAUUUGAUUGAACACAUGCGAUUACAUUCUGGAGAAAAGCCCUAUCAAUGUGACAAAUGUGGAAAGCGCUUCUCACACUCUGGGUCUUAUUCUCAACACAUGAAUCAUCGCUACUCCUACUGUAAGAGAGAAGCGGAAGAACGUGACAGCACAGAGCAGGAAGAGGCAGGGCCUGAAAUCCUCUCGAACGAGCACGUGGGUGCCAGGGCGUCUCCCUCACAGGGCGACUCGGACGAGAGAGAGAGUUUGACAAGGGAAGAGGAUGAAGACAGUGAAAAAGAGGAAGAGGAGGAGGAUAAAGAGAUGGAAGAAUUGCAGGAAGAAAAAGAAUGUGAAAAACCACAAGGGGAUGAGGAAGAGGAGGAGGAGGAGGAGGAAGAAGUGGAAGAAGAAGAGGUAGAAGAGGCAGAGAAUGAGGGAGAAGAAGCAAAAACUGAAGGUCUGAUGAAGGAUGACAGGGCUGAAAGUCAAGCAAGCAGCUUAGGACAAAAAGUAGGCGAGAGUAGUGAGCAAGUGUCUGAAGAAAAGACAAAUGAAGCCUAAUCGUUUUUCUAG